RNAcentral lists this unclassified non-coding RNA (263 nucleotides) under air metagenome. Its description in RNAcentral is "partial contains small subunit ribosomal RNA, internal transcribed spacer 1, and 5.8S ribosomal RNA". The stretch from base 1 to 46 matches the Rfam family "Eukaryotic small subunit ribosomal RNA", at positions 1786 to 1831 of the family's 1831-position model. The record is from RNAcentral.
AAGUCGUAACAAGGUUUCCGUAGGUGAACCUGCGGAAGGAUCAUUAAAGAGAUAGGGUCCUUCGGGGCCCGACCUCCAACCCUUUGUCUAUCAAACCUCUGUUGCCUCGGCGGGCCGUCGGUUACCUUUACGGGUGCCGCCGUCGGCCUCCGCGCUCUCGAGUGCCCGCCGCAGGACUAUUUAAACUCUUUGUCAAACAAGUAUAAUCUGAGUGGAAUUUAAUGCUUCAAUUAAAACUUUUAACAACGGAUCUCUUGGUUCUG